UGUCCAGACUCCCACGGGAGGCAGCAGUGAGGAAUAUUGGUCAAUGGGCGCGAGCCUGAACCAGCCAAGUAGCGUGAAGGAUGACUGCCCUACGGGUUGUAAACUUCUUUUAUAAAGGAAUAAAGUGAGGCACGUGUGCCUUUUUGUAUGUACUUUAUGAAUAAGGAUCGGCUAACUCCGUGCCAGCAGCCGCGGUAAUACGGAGGAUCCGAGCGUUAUCCGGAUUUAUUGGGUUUAAAGGGAGCGUAGAUGGGUUGUUAAGUCAGUUGUGAAAGUUUGCGGCUCAACCGUAAAAUUGCAAUUGAUACUGGCAGUCUUGAGUACAGUUGAGGUAGGCGGAAUUCGUGGUGUAGCGGUGAAAUGCUUAGAUAUCAGGAGGAACAUCGGUGGCGUAAGCGCUUUACUGGGCCGUAAUUGACGCUGAGGAACGAAAGCCAGGGUAGCAAAUGGGAUUAGAUACCCCAGUAU
Molecule: ribosomal RNA, 468 nt
Filed under: uncultured bacterium
Lineage: Bacteria
Description: bacterial SSU rRNA
Rfam family: Bacterial small subunit ribosomal RNA
Source: RNAcentral